Molecule: ribosomal RNA, 514 nt
Filed under: uncultured bacterium
Lineage: Bacteria
Description: bacterial SSU rRNA
Rfam family: Bacterial small subunit ribosomal RNA
Source: RNAcentral
GAUGAACGCUGGCGGCGUGCCUAAUACAUGCAAGUCGAACGCGCUGUGGCAAUUAUUGAGAAGCUUGCUUCAAUUUAAUUGAAAUGCAGCGAGUGGCGAACGGGUGAGUAACACGUGGGAAACCUACCUCUUAGCAGGGGAUAACAUUUGGAAACAGAUGCUAAUACCGUAUAACAACUUUUAUCGCAUGAUAAAAGUUUAAAAGAUGGUUCUGCUAUCACUAAGAGAUGGUCCCGCGGUGUAUUAGCUAGAUGGUGAGGUAAUGGCUCACCAUGGCGAUGAUACAUAGCCGAGUUGAGAGACUGAUCGGCCACAUUGGAACUGAGACACGGUCCAAACUCCUACGGGAGGCAGCAGUAGGGAAUCUUCCACAAUGGACGAAAGUCUGAUGGAGCAACGCCGCGUGUGUGAUGAAGGGUUUCGGCUCGUAAAACACUGUUAUAAGAGAAGAACGUCAGUGAGAGUAACUGUUCAUUGAGUGACGGUAUCUUAUCAGAAAGGGACGGCUAAAUAC